This 270-nucleotide ribosomal RNA is filed under the name uncultured bacterium. RNAcentral's name for it is "partial 16S ribosomal RNA". It matches the Rfam family "Bacterial small subunit ribosomal RNA", at positions 524 to 793 of the family's 1533-position model. The record is from RNAcentral.
UACGUAGGGUGCGAGCGUUAAUCGGAAUUACUGGGCGUAAAGCGUGCGCAGGCUGUUCUGUAAGUCAGAUGUGAAAUCCCCGAGCUCAACUUGGGAACUGCGUUUGAAACUACAGGACUAGAAUAUGUCAGAGGGGGGUAGAAUUCCACGUGUAGCAGUGAAAUGCGUAGAGAUGUGGGAGAUACCAAUGGCGAAGGCAGCCCCCUGGGAUAAUAUUGACGCUCAUGCACGAAAGCGUGGGGAGCAACAAGGAUUAGAGUACCGUGAUAG